CCGGCGCACGGGUGAGUAACACGUAUCCAACCUGCCCUUUACUCGGGGAUAGCCUUCUGAAAGGAAGAUUAAUACAAGAUGGCAUCAUGAGUUCACAUGUUCACAUGAUUAAAGGUAUUCCGGUAGACGAUGGGGAUGCGUUCCAUUAGAUAGUAGGCGGGGUAACGGCCCACCUAGUCUUCGAUGGAUAGGGGUUCUGAGAGGAAGGUCCCCCACAUUGGAACUGAGACACGGUCCAA
This 239-nucleotide ribosomal RNA is filed under the name uncultured bacterium. Its description in RNAcentral is "partial 16S ribosomal RNA". It matches the Rfam family "Bacterial small subunit ribosomal RNA", at positions 95 to 334 of the family's 1533-position model. The record is from RNAcentral.